This is a long non-coding RNA of Carya illinoinensis, 1362 nucleotides long. RefSeq lists it as uncharacterized. The transcript is spliced from 3 exons. The record is from RefSeq and is a predicted model, not a curated record. Lineage: Eukaryota; Viridiplantae; Streptophyta; Magnoliopsida; Fagales; Juglandaceae.
GAUAGUAUGGAUCCAUGAAAGGUGAUCUCUUCUGUUGGAGCAAUUGGCAACCAACUGGAGAAUCCCCAUUUGAUCUCUCUCUCUCUCUCUCUCUCUCUCUCUCUCUCUCUCUCUCUCUCUCUAACUUGUUAUUAGCUGUUUUAUUUCAGCCUUUUGUCAUUAGCACUUGUUGCUAACAAUUAUGUAAGGCCUAGUUAGACUAUAACUCUCUAAACCUAUUUCUAUUUUAUUAAAAUAUUGAUAGAUUUACACCUAUCAUGGGGGCUCUCACUAGGUAGAACAAAAUAUUUUUUUUUUAAAAUUUUUUUACCAUCAUUUUUUAACUUUUAAAUAUUUUUUUUUUUUUAAAUUCACAAUAUUAUUAAAUAAUAUUUUCUUAAUCACUAAGUAAAAAAAAAAAAAAAAGAAAUUUUAGACGAAGCUCCCAGCGAAAUCCCUAACUUUUACCUUAAAAUAUUGAUUUUCACCUUUCCAUUUAUUUUAAUUCUAAUCAUAAUUUAGAGCACUUCCAACGGAUUUUGUAAAACUUAACUUUUUGUAAAAUUUAAAGGUGAUAGCUCAAAAUACGCAUACAAUGGAUUAUGUAUUUCAAAGUUAUUAUUGAGUUUAUUACAAUAACGCCUCUACAUUUAGUGGACGUUGUAGGCAAAUGUAUAAAUUUUUUAUUCAUUUUUUUUCUCUAUGCUUUCUACUUCUUUCUUCCCCACAGAAGAUUCUUUCGUUUAAGCCCCAAUAUAUUUCGUGCGCCAUCUUCACUUCCUCUCAAGACUGGUUCUGCUCUUCAACUCAAAAGAAGGCAACGAUUGCAAAGUGCCAAAAAACAACACAGCUCAAGCAUCUAAUUCCUAGGGCAAACAGACUUGAUGUAGUCGAUGGAGACAACUUUGAUGAACAAGACGGAGCUGCGAAACAAUUAGAGCUACUUGAAUCCAGGGAAGGAGUCAUCAAAACAGAUCAUACUAAAACCACCAUUUAAAGCAGAGUCUAGAAAAGAGAUUGUGCGCGCAUGGCUUCGAGUGAAUGAAUCCACAACGCUUCAAAAACAUUGCUCCUCCUUUCUUUUGAAGUUUUGACAGUCAAGCAUGUUGUGAUCCCUUUAAUCGAUAAUCCUAGUCAAGCUAGCUAGUGCCGUCGAUGUAAUAAGAUUCAAAUACUAGCAUCCUUAUUAAUCUUGUGUCCCAAACACCUCCAUACAAAAUGUUGGUAUCGUUUGAAUUUUUCAUUUCAUUGUAAUUUUUUAUUUUAUUAGUGUAUUUCAUUAACACAAUGAUAGAACAUAGAUUAAAGAGAAGAGUUUUGUAAUUCUAUUAAUUUCCCCACCAUACCAUUUUACAGUGUGUGAGGUCAGUAUAUAUUGACUUG